GCUGCUAUGGCUCAGUCGGCAGAGCACAUCCUUGGUAAGGAUGAGGUCACGCGUUCGAUUCGCGUUAGCAGCUCCA
Molecule: transfer RNA, 76 nt
Filed under: Clostridia bacterium
Lineage: Bacteria; Bacillati; Bacillota; Clostridia
Also listed under: 1 other name
Description: tRNA-Thr
Rfam family: tRNA
About the family: Transfer RNA (tRNA) molecules are approximately 80 nucleotides in length. Their secondary structure includes four short double-helical elements and three loops (D, anti-codon, and T loops). Further hydrogen bonds mediate the characteristic L-shaped molecular structure. tRNAs have two regions of fundamental functional importance: the anti-codon, which is responsible for specific mRNA codon recognition, and the 3' end, to which the tRNAs corresponding amino acid is attached (by aminoacyl-tRNA synthetases). tRNAs cope with the degeneracy of the genetic code in two manners: having more than one tRNA (with a specific anti-codon) for a particular amino acid; and 'wobble' base-pairing, i.e. permitting non-standard base-pairing at the 3rd anti-codon position.
Source: RNAcentral